UUUUUCAAUUAAGGAUUCAAUAGAAGAAGUGUUUGUUAAGCCAGCUGAAGAACUGCACAGACUUGAUUAUUACAAAUCUACAACAGUAACUUCUGGAUUCUACUCAACCUCUACGUACCUUUUACAGAUGCCUGUCUUAUAAAACACUGAUAGUUGAGUAGAGUGAGGCACUACCAACAGUAGGGCUGCUAUUGAUCAGGACAGAACAGGAAAUUUGAACACAGUGAAAUAUCAUGAGACAAACGAAUGAAGAUUUGACUUCAACUUCUUCUUUAUUACCACUAGUGAUUCUACCCAAACUUUGUGC
This is a long non-coding RNA of Chelonia mydas (Green sea turtle), 307 nucleotides long. RefSeq lists it as uncharacterized. Lineage: Eukaryota; Metazoa; Chordata; Testudines; Cheloniidae. The record is from RefSeq and is a predicted model, not a curated record. The transcript is spliced from 4 exons.